UCCUACGGGAGGCAGCAGUGGGGAAUAUUGCGCAAUGGGGGAAACCCUGACGCAGCAACGCCGCGUGGAGGAAGAAGGUCUUCGGAUUGUAAACUCCUGUCUUCUGGGACGAACAAUGACGGCACCAGAGGAGGAAGCCACGGCUAACUACGUGCCAGCAGCCGCGGUAAUA
This 172-nucleotide ribosomal RNA is filed under the name uncultured bacterium. RNAcentral describes it as "partial 16S ribosomal RNA". It matches the Rfam family "Bacterial small subunit ribosomal RNA", at positions 337 to 525 of the family's 1533-position model. The record is from RNAcentral.